RNAcentral lists this long non-coding RNA (591 nucleotides) under Homo sapiens (human). Its description in RNAcentral is "HSALNT0187206". Lineage: Eukaryota; Metazoa; Chordata; Mammalia; Primates; Hominidae. The record is from RNAcentral.
GCUUGGCGGAGGAACCCGCGGGGAUAGGGAGCACCUUCCUCAAAGCCAGGAGAAGGGGUCUCCCUGGACAAGGACAUCCUGCUCGCCCUGCCCGGGCACCUUCUAAAUUUCCAUUGCUGAGUGUUAGAAGUUAUCAGGAAUUUGACACAUCCAGAUAGAAAAACUGAAAAUAAAAAGUCACCCUUUUAUUCUCAUCCUCCCCAAACCCUUAAAAAGCUCACCGACAUAAUCCAGAAAUUGUUCCUCUGCUAUGAGUAUUUGUGUGGCUCUUUACUAUAACAACUUACUUUUUAAAAAAUUUUAAGACAUCUGAGCAGUUGAAAAGUCAAUGAAUUAAGAUAAACUUAUUGUAACUCAAAGUACGUUUCACCCAUUUUCACUUUGUUUAUUUGGUGACUUGAAAUUAGUGACUGAGAAAUGAAACUGGAAGUCCUGGACAUGGAUGUUUUCAUUCUUCCAUCAAAAUCUUUCACGCUUGGUAACCUUAAUAUACCGACUUUAAUAUCUAGACACACCUGAGUCUAUUUCCCCGUAUAACACACUACAGCCUUUCCUAUUCACCUAUUAACUUAAUAAAAAUAUAUUAAGGAG